UUGCCCCACCAGGCGAAGCAUUGUUUAUUUAUUUAAGUCUUUGUAAAACGUUUGCAUUUUCUAUGACUUUAUAGUUAUUGUUCAAGUAUUAAUCUUCCAAUCUUUCAAUAACACAUAAUUCUCAAAAUGUAAUUUCAAAUUUCCCGUCAACAUUUAACAUUUUUUAUCUCAAAAACAUGACCAGCUACAGGAUGACUGACUGUCAUAAAACUCAACCACCGGGCUUACCAUGUUUUCUGGGGGAUACCCUGCAAGCACAAUGCAUGCUAAUAUUUAUUUAUCACAUACCAGAAAAAACAGCUACCUUCUGUUUAUUCAUAUUCAUGGUUGUAUUUUCUGUCUUUGUUUUAGGUUCCAUGUCAAGAAGAGAGAGAACACAUAUCUCGGAGGAAGCGAAGGUCUUCCUCCAGAAAGCCUAUAAAGAAGGGAUGACCAGGGUGGGAUCUCCACUGGUUGGAGCGGCAUCCCAGGCCACUGGCUUGCCACCGUUUGUCAUUGAUAACUGGAUUGGAAACUAUAGAAGAAAAAACCCCAUCUUCUUCUCAACCUAAAAACAAGAAGUUAUACACCAAGGACCUGUCUGGUUACAACCUGUUCUGCAGGGAUCAGUUAAAGAACAAGGACCCCGGCAGGAAAAUUAGGACACCAACUGUGGAAGACAUUUUGAAUGCAAUGUGUGCAAAUGAUGAGCGGAGCGUAACAGAGCCUAUGGGUUUGACGGAAGUGCUGUCAAGAGAACCGACUACAGAUGAUACUACGGAUGUUUGCAACAUCUGCCACUGUCUGUUCAGUGAUGA
This is a long non-coding RNA of Xiphophorus couchianus (Monterrey platyfish), 797 nucleotides long. RefSeq lists it as uncharacterized. The transcript has 6 exons. The record is from RefSeq and is a predicted model, not a curated record. Lineage: Eukaryota; Metazoa; Chordata; Actinopteri; Cyprinodontiformes; Poeciliidae.